GGUAAAGGCUUAGGUAGAGGGGGAGAGGGAUAUGGCCAUGGUGGUGGAGGUGGUUAUGGCUCAGGUGGUGGAGGUGGAGAGGGAUAUGGCAAAGGUGGCGGAGGUGGUUAUGGCUCAGGCGGUGGUAAACACUCAGGUGGAGGUGGAGAGGGAUAUGGCAAAGGUGGUGGAGGUGGUUAUGGCUCAGGUGGUGGUAAACACUCAGGUGGUGGUAAACACUCAGGUGGAGGUGGAGAGGGAUAUGGCAAAGGUGGUGGAGGUGGUUAUGGCUCAGGUGGUGGUAAACACUCAGGUGGUGGUAAACACUCAGGUGGUGGUAAACACUCAGGCGGUGGUAAACACUCAGGUGGAGGUGGAGAGGGAUAUGGCAAAGGUGGCGGAGGUGGUUAUGGCUCAGGCGGUGGUAAACACUCAGGUGGAGGUGGAGAGGGAUAUGGCAAAGGUGGUGGAGGUGGUUAUGUUAUGGCUCAGGUGGUGGUAAACACUCAGGUGGAGGUGGAGAGGGAUAUGGCUCAGGUGGUGGAGGUGGUUAUGGCUCGGGCGGUGGUAAACACUCAGGUGGAGGUGGAGAGGGAUAUGGCUCAGGUGGUGGAGGUGGUUAUG
This 603-nucleotide long non-coding RNA is filed under the name Zostera marina. RNAcentral describes it as "long non-coding RNA (ZMAR_LNC001925)". Lineage: Eukaryota; Viridiplantae; Streptophyta; Magnoliopsida; Alismatales; Zosteraceae. The record is from RNAcentral.